CGAUGAUGAAUAGGUUGUUGUGUGUAUAUUAUUGAAGAGUACAUAAGCUAUAAUGUUAAUGAAACUGUCUGGUGUAAGCAUGCCCAAGAUAAUACAAUUUACAACUGUAAAUGUAGACCAUGUAAUCAAGGACAUCGACAUAAAUGUCAUGGAAAGAAAUAAGAGUGAAUCGAAAUAGAGUCCUAUUUAUUUGAACAACAAAAGCGUCCUUAGUUGUGCCCAAACAAGGGUUGUGUGUUCCUUAUGAACUAGUAAUGUAAGAAAUCCCAAAGCUUUCACCCAAAUUUUGCUCUGGUGAGAAGUUAAAAGACAACAUUUGAAAAUAAGCCAGAGUCUUCUACUGCUAUUAGACAAUGGAAGGAUGGUUACACUAAUGUGGAUUUUUAGAUGUUAUGUGUUUGUAGCUUGGUUAAAGAAAAAUGGAAGGGUUGGAGAGAGAAUGCCAGCCAAUCGAGAAUGUCCUGCAACAAAACACCUGCCUGAAUUUUGAACUCUGAAUGAAGCUUUUUCCUAACAGCUGACUUUUAGAAGCUCUCUUGAUGACGAGCACCAAUAACUGCACAUAUUUGCAGAAAACAGCUGAAAUAUAACUCGUAAAGGCUGUUUGUUGUAGUUUCAUCGAAAAGAGGCUGUUAAAAGAAAACAAACUAAUAUCAGUGAAUUCAGUCAUUCAGUUCCGGUCGUCGGUUCAAUUGGGAACAUAGAAAUGCAUAAGCCCUUGGUGUUUUGAGACCAAAUAAGUGUUUUACUUCAAACAAGGCAAAAGCAACGAAUAACAAAAUAACAAAACACUUGCGUUCACAACGUGCCUCCUGUUGCUACCACGUCAACAAAUGAAGUUGUACAAAAGAAAACAUCAAAGAAGAAAUAAAAAAGACAACAGAAAAUAUCUAUUGAAUAUACAACAAUAAACAGAUGAAAACAAAAUUGUGCAAACAAGAAAAUAUGUUAUAUAAAAUGGUCUUUAAAUCGAAAAAUAUUAGAACCGGCGCUGAAGCCUCAUCAAGAUCAUACAUAUAUUUUGGCUUUGAAAAAGGUAUCGCAGAUAUCAGGCGUUUAAGAGCAUAAUACCUAUACGAUCCUCUAGCGGAUUUGAAUGGUAUAUUACAAAAAAAUUUCCUGAUCCCUUCCAGAUUUAUCAUUGGCUCCUCAAAAAUUUUUGGUCAUAUAUUGCAAAUUUAACAUUCAUACAACAAUCAACCAAUUUUGAAUAAUACAAAAAUAAAG
Molecule: long non-coding RNA, 1227 nt
Organism: Musca domestica (house fly)
Lineage: Eukaryota; Metazoa; Arthropoda; Insecta; Diptera; Muscidae
Exons: 3
Source: RefSeq, a predicted model, not a curated record